Molecule: long non-coding RNA, 387 nt
Organism: Calidris pugnax (ruff)
Lineage: Eukaryota; Metazoa; Chordata; Aves; Charadriiformes; Scolopacidae
Exons: 4
Source: RefSeq, a predicted model, not a curated record
CCCAGACAGCCUUCAGUCCUCGCAGGGGAGGAGGAGAGGAGACUUUCCACUUCAAGACUCGGCGCUGACUCAAGCUGCUGGCAGCAAGAGCCCCAAAAUCAAACUGAUGGCUUAGAGAGGUUCAUAGAGUAAAUCUGAAGGCAAAGCCUCCUUGCAAGUCUCACCAUCCCGGCAGGGCCAGAGGAAUGUCACAAUGCAGAGUCCCUCGGCGAGCCUGACUGGGUCUGCCUACGGAAGCACACCUGUGUUUACAAAGGGUCUACAAAACAUAAGAGCUACAAGGGGUCAAUUAGUGGUAUUUGAGUGUCGCAUUCGCGCUACACCCACCUUACAGGUUCACUGGUACAGGGAAUAUGAUCCAAUAAUCGACUCUGCUGAUUUCCGAAU